GAUGAACGCUGGCGGCGUGCCUAACACAUGCAAGUCGAACGUGAGGGGGUAGCAAUAUCUCUGAAAGUGGCGCACGGGUGAGUAAGACGUAGGUAACCUGCCCUGGAGUGGGGGAUAACAGCUGGAAACGGCUGCUAACACCGCAUAAUACCGGUUGCUCGGGAGAGAGACUGGUAAAAACUCUGGUGCUUCAGGAGGGGCCUGCGGCCGAUUAGCUAGUUGGCGGGGUAAGAGCCCACCAAGGCAGUGAUCGGUAGCUGGUCUGAGAGGACGAUCAGCCACACGGGAACUGAGACACGGUCCCGACUCCUACGGGGGGCAGCAGUGAGGAAUAUGGGCAAUGGGCGCAAGCCUGACCCAGCAACGCCGCGUGGAGGAAGACGGCCUUCGGGUUGUAAACUCCUUUUACGGGGGAAGAGGAAGGACGGUACCCCGAGAAUAAGUCACGGCUAACUACGUGCCAGCAGCCGCAGUAACAC
RNAcentral lists this ribosomal RNA (479 nucleotides) under uncultured bacterium. RNAcentral describes it as "bacterial SSU rRNA". It matches the Rfam family "Bacterial small subunit ribosomal RNA", at positions 28 to 526 of the family's 1533-position model. The record is from RNAcentral.